GACGAACGCUGGCGGCGUGCCUAAUACAUGCAAGUAGAACGCACAGUUUAUACCGUAGCUUGCUACACCAUAGACUGUGAGUUGCGAACGGGUGAGUAACGCGUAGGUAACCUGCCUGGUAGCGGGGGAUAACUAUUGGAAACGAUAGCUAAUACCGCAUAAUAUUAAUUAUUGCAUGAUAAUUAAUUGAAAGGUGCAAUUGCACCACUACCAGAUGGACCUGCGUUGUAUUAGCUAGUAGGUGAGGCAACGGCUCGCCUAGGCGACGAUACAUAGCCGACCUGAGAGGGUGAUCGGCCACACUGGGACUGAGACACGGCCCAGACUCCUACGGGAGGCAGCAGUAGGGAAUCUUCGGCAAUGGACGAAAGUCUGACCGAGCAACGCCGCGUGAGUGAAGAAGGUUUUCGGAUCGUAAAGCUCUGUUGUAAGAGAAGAACGGGUGUGAGAGUGGAAAGUGCACACUGUGACGGUAUCUUACCAGAAAGGGACGGCUAACUACGU
Molecule: ribosomal RNA, 504 nt
Filed under: uncultured bacterium
Lineage: Bacteria
Description: partial 16S ribosomal RNA
Rfam family: Bacterial small subunit ribosomal RNA
Source: RNAcentral